RNAcentral lists this long non-coding RNA (738 nucleotides) under Capsella rubella. RNAcentral's name for it is "long non-coding RNA (CRUB_LNC003787)". The record is from RNAcentral. Lineage: Eukaryota; Viridiplantae; Streptophyta; Magnoliopsida; Brassicales; Brassicaceae.
AGCUAAGUUGGUUGCGCUCGAGAAUGAUGAAACUUCUAACGGGACUUCGCGUAGAUUUAAGCAAUCUCAAGAAGAGGAUGACGAGCUCUUUUUCAGGUUAUUUGCUGCUUCUUUAUGGUAUUGUAUGUUUGUUUUAUUCUGAAAAAUGUGGUGGAACUCGCAUUUUAAUGGAGCUCGCAUUUUAAUAGAUAUCUAAUUUAUAGAAAUUAAUUUCUAAUUUAUUUCUAAUUAGACCAUUGUUUUUUUACCUAAAAACACUGUUUAACACUUUUCACGCGAAUUCAUUCGCCCGGGACUAUUUUUACACCUCAGAAUCUAAUUUGAUCGACGAUGAACAUGAACUUCAACUUCAAUGGUGUUGCUCAGCCAAUCGUUCCUGCCAUUCCAGGAGGAUUUGCGGUUGGUUUUCUCCCCGGUGGAGGAUUCAGUAUAGUGAUUCCUCCAAAUGAAGGUAUGACAUUGACUCUCACCGCUACUGAUGGUGUCGGAGAUGAUGGUGUGGGUGGCUGAUGAAGACGUCAGAGGCGGAGGCGGAGGCAUAGGCGGAUGCAUAGGCGGAGGAGAUAAUAUUGCAGCUGUCUUGGGUAAACAUUUUUCAAUUACAAAUUUCAUUAUUAUUUUUUUGGUAAAGAUGGAAUAUAUUUCUGGAUAAUAUAUUUAUAGAAACUUAUCUUCCCAAAAGGUUGUAAAUUAUUGGAUAAUAUAUUUUAAAAGAAAAAAAAAAUCUCAAUUAUUUUC